UACGUAGGGUGCAAGCGUUGUCCGGAAUUAUUGGGCGUAAAGAGUUCGUAGGCGGUCUGGCACGUCUGCUGUGAAAACUCGGGGCUUAACCCCGGGCCUGCAGUGGGUACGGGCAGACUAGAGUGCGGUAGGGGAGACUGGAAUUCCUGGUGUAGCGGUGAAAUGCGCAGAUAUCAGGAGGAACACCGGUGGCGAAGGCGGGUCUCUGGGCCGUAACUGACGCUGAGGAGCGAAAGCGUGGGGAGCGAACAGG
RNAcentral lists this ribosomal RNA (253 nucleotides) under uncultured bacterium. Its description in RNAcentral is "partial 16S ribosomal RNA". It matches the Rfam family "Bacterial small subunit ribosomal RNA", at positions 524 to 776 of the family's 1533-position model. The record is from RNAcentral.